This 253-nucleotide ribosomal RNA is filed under the name uncultured bacterium. RNAcentral describes it as "partial 16S ribosomal RNA". It matches the Rfam family "Bacterial small subunit ribosomal RNA", at positions 524 to 776 of the family's 1533-position model. The record is from RNAcentral.
GACGGAGGGUGCAAGCGUUAUUCGGAAUUAUUGGGCGUAAAGAGUGUGUAGGCGGCCGGUUAAGUCAGGUGUGAAAGCCCGGGGCUCAACCUCGGAAGUGCACUUGAUACUGGUCGGCUUGAGUUCGGGAGAGGGAAGCGGAAUUCCUGGUGUAGAGGUGAAAUUCGUAGAUAUCAGGAGGAACAUCGGUGGCGAAGGCGGCUUCCUGGACCGAAACUGACGCUGAGACACGAAAGCGUGGGGAGCAAACAGG